GACGUAGGGCGCGAGCGUUGUCCGGAUUUAUUGGGCGUAAAGAGCUCGUAGGUGGUUCGGCAAGUCAGUUGUGAAAUCUCCGCGCUCAACGCGGAGGGGUCAGCUGAAACUGCUGUGACUUGAGUCUGGUAGGGGAGUGUGGAAUUCCCGGUGUAGCGGUGAAAUGCGCAGAUAUCGGGAGGAACACCAGUGGCGAAGGCGGCACUCUGGGCCAGUACUGACACUGAGGAGCGAAAGCGUGGGGAGCGAACAGG
RNAcentral lists this ribosomal RNA (254 nucleotides) under uncultured bacterium. RNAcentral's name for it is "partial 16S ribosomal RNA". It matches the Rfam family "Bacterial small subunit ribosomal RNA", at positions 524 to 776 of the family's 1533-position model. The record is from RNAcentral.